RNAcentral lists this ribosomal RNA (468 nucleotides) under uncultured bacterium. RNAcentral's name for it is "partial 16S ribosomal RNA". The stretch from base 48 to 468 matches the Rfam family "Bacterial small subunit ribosomal RNA", at positions 34 to 507 of the family's 1533-position model. The record is from RNAcentral.
GGGGGGGGGGGGGGGGGGGGGGGGGGGGGGGGGGGCGGGCGGGGGGGCGCUGGUGGGGGGGGGUGCGCGGGUGGCGAGCGGGGGAGGGACGGGGGAGUAGCCGGGCCCGGGCGUGGGGGUACCGUCGGGGGACUGGGGCUACUUCCGCCUAGUCCCUGCUGCGGCCGGGGGGGGCGCGGCACCGUUCGGCGGGUGGGGACGGCCUCCCGGCUUAUCAGCUUGUUGGUGGGGUGUUGGCUUCCCAAGGCUUUGACGGGUAGCCGGCCUGAGAGGGUAGCCGGCCACAUUGGGACUGAGAUACGGCCCAGACUCCUACGGGAGGCAGCAGUGGGGAAUAUUGCACAAUGGGCGGAAGCCUGAUGCGGCAACGCCGCGUGCGGGAUGACGGCCUUCGGGUUGUAAACCGCUUUCGCCUGUGACGAAGCGUGAGUGACGGUAAUGGGUAAAGAAGCACCGGCUAACUACGUG